AUACGUAGGGGGCAAGCGUUAUCCGGAUUCAUUGGGCGUAAAGCGCGUGUAGGCGGUCUGUUAGGUCGGGAGUUAAAUCCGGGGGCUCAACCCCCGUCCGCUCCCGAUACCGGCAGACUUGAGUUCGGUAGGGGAAAGUGGAAUUCCCAGUGUAGCGGUGGAAUGCGCAGAUAUUGGGAAGAACACCGGUGGCGAAGGCGGCUUUCUGGGCCGUAACUGACGCUGAGACGCGAAAGCUAGGGGAGCAAACAGGAUUAGAUACCCUGGUAGUCCUAGCCGUAAACGAUGGACACUAGGUGUGGGGAGAUGAUCUCUCCGUGCCGCAGCUAACGCAUUAAGUGUCCCGCCUGGGGAGUACGGUCGCAAGACUAAAACUCAAAUGAAUUGACGGGG
This 393-nucleotide ribosomal RNA is filed under the name uncultured bacterium. RNAcentral's name for it is "partial 16S ribosomal RNA". It matches the Rfam family "Bacterial small subunit ribosomal RNA", at positions 523 to 918 of the family's 1533-position model. The record is from RNAcentral.